RNAcentral lists this long non-coding RNA (1122 nucleotides) under Sinocyclocheilus anshuiensis. Its description in RNAcentral is "lncRNA (ENSSANG00000050880.1)". The record is from RNAcentral. Lineage: Eukaryota; Metazoa; Chordata; Actinopteri; Cypriniformes; Cyprinidae.
CCUCGCCAGGUGGGGGGAAAAGACUUGAGGUUAGCUGAGAGGGUUCUGACAGCGUUCGGCGGGAGGUCGAGACUCAUGGCGUCGGACGGCUAAGCCUCGCCAACCGUCGAACGGAAAAGUAAAGUUAUGUGGCCGGGAGACUCUCGCCGACGUCCAACGGGAGCACACAGCAUCGAACGGGUAAAGCUUGUGUUAUACUUUCCGCGUGCGCUAUUCCGCUAGUGUGACGUAAAAAUCGUCAUCGGAGAGUGUGCGCGGAGGCUCUGAGCGGACAUCCGCGUGCCUCCCAUUUUUUGUGACAAAACAAAAAGCACAAAAAUCAAGCAGUACAAAAGCACCAAUUGCGCAUGCGCUGGAAAAACAACAUGGAGACCGAAUUUGAAGAGAGGCUGUGUGAAGAAGUUCGCUACCCGCACCUGUACAAUACUUCUUUAAAGCAAUAUAAAGACAUCCAAACGUGCAAUAACUCCUGGAGGGAAGUUGCUCAGAGUUUGGGCAAAGAAGAAAGUGCGUGUCGCCACAAGUGGAAAUAUUUGAGAGAUCGUUUCGUGACGGCAAAGAAGAAGCUGAAGAGAAGGAGCGGUGCACCAGGCGGUAGAGCUGUUCCCUCCAUCGUUUACCUCUUGAGCUGGUUGUCCGACUUCGUGAAACACCGGGACACAGACUCAAACUUCCCAGUAGAGCUAGAAGGCAACUCGUUCACACUGAACCUGGAAGCAACUGAAGCAGAUGAGUCCAUUUCCCCAAGAACUUCGACGCCAUCACCACAACCAGAGGCUUUUUCACCACCACCCGCAGCAGCUGUGCUGUCAUCACCCACACCCUCCUCAUCAUCCGCAAGUGAGGUUUUUCCCCUCCCCACAUCUCUGAAACAAAAAAGACAUACACCUACCACACCCUUUGAAGAUGCUAUCCUCCAGCGGCUACAACAAAUCGACAAAGCCAAAGAGGAUGAGGAUCAUGCCUUUAGUGUGAUGGUUACAAGCAUGCUGGCAAAACUUCCACCCCAUGUCCGCAUGGAAGCUAAAUUUGAAAUACACCAGCUUCUUUAUCAUAAACAGAAGCAGGCAUUUCAAAAUGACAUCAGUCAAUAAUAAAAACAGUUGUUUCAUUUGUUGGUGU